RNAcentral lists this ribosomal RNA (253 nucleotides) under uncultured bacterium. Its description in RNAcentral is "partial 16S ribosomal RNA". It matches the Rfam family "Bacterial small subunit ribosomal RNA", at positions 524 to 776 of the family's 1533-position model. The record is from RNAcentral.
UACGAAGGGGGCUAGCGUUGUUCGGAAUUACUGGGCGUAAAGCGCAUGUAGGCGGCUAUUCAAGUCGGGGGUGAAAUCCUGGAGCUCAACUCCAGAACUGCCUUCGAUACUGUGUGGCUAGAGUAUGGAAGAGGUAGGUGGAACUGCGAGUGUAGAGGUGAAAUUCGUAGAUAUUCGCAAGAACACCAGUGGCGAAGGCGGCCUACUGGUCCAUCACUGACGCUGAGAUGCGAAAGCGUGGGGAGCAAACAGG